CACCCCACCCCCAGAAAGGUCUAGAAUCUUGCCAGGAACCAAAGAUUAUAACACAGCAUUGGAGCCAAAAAUUGCUUAUGCGAGAACUUGAUGCGAAUCAGAUGACCGCUUCUCUUUUGGUGGAACUUGGGAUGUCUUCGAGAUCCUGCCUAUGAGCCGAACAAGGGCAACAGCAACAGACACCCCAACGGGCCCAUGAAACUAAGCUCACUUCCGUUUUACGACAUUUCCGGACAGAGACUCAAGCCUUUCACUCCACCAUGGGUCCUAGAUCAGGACCUGUCUAUGCCAGGAAAGAGGAAAAUACCAUUGUGGCCCAGUCGGCCUGCAGGUCACGAGACAAAACAGACAACCAGCUGUGCCCCGGGUUCCAGGAACUACAGAAAAUCACAGACCUUGGAAUACGAAGACCACCAGCAACAGGACUGGCAAAGGACUAGGCUUCGGGUUGUGUUUUACCCCGGCCUCUGGUUAUGUGACUAGCUAAGAGGGAAACUAGGCACCAAGGCAAAGGUGAGGUGACCGGGCAAGUCUAAAGUUGUACUGAGUAGAGGCAAAGACUGCACAAGAAUGAAAGAAAAAGACCAAGUAAUGAGGGGCAUGAGCUAAUGUCCAACCCUGACUGAACAAAUUAUUUUCCCACACAUGUAUUCCGAAGACUGAAGAAACAGUAUUACAUACACUCUUUUGAGCGCUUUCUGACCAACAUUUUUCUAUUAAAGGUUAUGCUUCUCGGGAGCCAGUAUCAAAGCUUCUUGUGGCUUGUCAGUAAAUUUAAGAGGCCAAAUCUGUGUAAAUUUAAAUUACAUAAAACCUCUCCCUCAAUUGCCUGGUCUCAGAAUAGCCCCUUUCACUGGGCAUUAUCAUCAGGGAAUAUAAACGCCUUUAUCAUAGGAGCCCAGGCUUUUGAAAUCUUGGCAUAAUCGAAUUUCCUCCUCCCAAGGCAUAUCAAACAACAUUGCAGAAUGGAGUCUAAUUUGCUUUUUAACCAAAAGGUUCUUUCCUCUGCUUAUUUGAAGACUAUUUCUAUAUAACAAAUGCAGUGUUCUCUAUGACCACCCCCCUGCCAGAUGGCAGUGCCUGGAAGCCUACACGGUCACCCUAAGGGCAAAGAUUGACGGAAUUGUGAGGGAAAAAAACAGCAGGACACUCUGUGCAUCGGGGAGACAGUGGGGACCGCAUGAGCAGACACCUGAAAGCAUCAAAAGGUGGGCAUAUACUUAACUAACGAAGUCCUGAACAUGGGGGCAAGCGUCGCCCGCCCGUGAAUUGGCCUUCUCUGUCUGUCAGCUGGUGUGAAAACCUGGGAAUCUUUUGUUGACAGUGUCUGUAAGCUACCCUGAACCCCAAGCAGAUGAUUCAAGGCUGAGAAUACAUUCUGAUGCCGACACAGACAAUGGAACAGACAGACAAGGUCAGACGCAGGAAAUGUGGUACUUGGAGCACCGUUAGCCCGGACUAGCAUGAGCCUCUGGGGAUUCUCUAUGGAAGUAAGUGGAUGGACUGCAGAAAAGACACAUGGGUUCCCUUUCUGUUCUAAGCCUUUUUCUUCCCAACCUUUGAGGGGUUUUGAAUAUAUAAGGAAUUUAGCACGGGGUGUAGGGGAUUCAGUGUCUUGGCCAAAGAAUUUGCCUUGAGGCUCACAAGAUCUUCCUAGUAUAUAUGCUAAAUUUUUAUGAUUUACAUUUAGAAGCAGCUCGGUGAGGGGGCUCUUGGGCUCUGGUCUCCGGGCUCCAGGCUCCAGGCUCAGGUGGGCAUCAGUUGAUAACAAGAGAUCUGAGGAGAUCAUGAUAAUCAUUUUGUUCUACUUCAUUGUUCUUAAUGGGACUGUCUUAGAGCUAAGGCUGCAUCUGAUUCCGAUCAUGCACUGAAGAAGAGUCAGGGGCCCACUAGAUGGCAGCAGAUGGUAAGAAAUGUGAACUGAGGCCGCCUCCUGGAGAGCUAGGCUUGCAGCCCUCCAUUUUGCUUUGCAUCUUUAAUGAGAUAUGUGAGGAAAAUGAGUCCCUUACAUGCCAGUUACAGAUGCCACAGCAUAUGGAGAGAUACCGCAUAGCAAUCUUUCUCUGUUUAUUAAACAGGAGGCAGCUAACGAGUCACUCGCUGCACCCUGCUGCCAUUGUCCUUUAAGUUGCUGGAUACUGUUGUUGACAAGGUAAUAACAAGAGAAAGAGGGUUAAGCAGAAUGACAGAGAGGUGUGGACUUCGAGAUUACAAGGCGUCGUCAAGUUGAGGUACAGAGCAAAUCACUAGCGAAGGGCGAGAGACCCUGGGUAGCUUUCUGCUACCACAUGCCUCCCCUGGGGCGUCCGCUGCUCUCUCCUCUCCUUGGCAGACCUUGGGGGUUCAUUUAUCUAGAGCCUCUAUUACCACUAGACAAGCUUGGUGGUCUGACCUUUCACCACAAACCCCAAAUGGGAAAGGGAGCUCUGGGCAUUUUAAAGAGCAAACUGCACUUGCUGUUGUAGCAGACUGAAAAGACAUCGCAUGACCGGAAUGCGUUAGGAUGCAUCCACCUAUGGGGGCCUGCUUUCUAAGCUGCCCAAAACAAAAGUAGGGGUCCACUCUUGCUGGCUGCAGACAUAACACACCACGGUGUGUGGUGUGUCCCAGGUCUGAAGCUAAUUUUGCUGUUUCAUUUCUGUAUUUCUGUAAUUCUUUUUUCUUUCUUUCUUUUUUCCCCAUUUACCGAGUACAACAAUUUGCUAUUGAUUUCUUCUAACCCAGGUCUUCGGACGCCCUGGGUGGUUUCUGAGAACAGGUUACAAAUCCAGACACCCCUCUUCUGCCUGUUAAGAAACUGGACUGUCCUCCAUUAACCACAAGGCCCGCGGUUACCAGGACUUCUCAGAGUCAUUCAUUAAAAUCUUCAUAUUGAGGUAAAUAAUUCGGUCACUUUGCAGACAGAAAAACGCAGGCAUGGAACUGAGACACAGCUUCGUCUCUCCUGGUCAGCAUCCCUUUCCUCUGUUUACCCCUCCAUGGACACCAAGGUUCCCUGCCACUGUUUGCCAGUCCCCUUAGAACAGCUCCAUAUGCCAGAAACUCUGCCCAUCUGUGUGACCUUAAACAGCCUGUAUCCUGUCCAUACCUCGUUUGUGAUAUUGUAGCUUGAGGUCCUGGAAUUAGAUGAUGACUAAGCCCUCUUCCAGCUCUGCCAUCUUUUAGCUUUACUUUCCCAAGCUUCUGUCAGCCCUCAAAGGAUGGCACACGGGACACUGUUUCCAACCAUGGGCCCACUCAGCAGGGCCCAGCGACAUUUGUCUUCCUGUAGAGAAGAAUUGUGGCAGCGUUGGACUCUUGUUGACAUUCUUUGUCCUCUGAAGGAAACAAACCGGGAGGCUUCAGAAGUCAUUGAUACCGACAACAGGGCCUGGGGUGGUCACACCCCUGAGGAAGGAACCUGCAGAGCUGUCCCUGUGGGUGCUGGGAAUGCCUAGUCCAAGACCAAGUCCAGGAUGUUUUAAUAACUAUUUCUCAAAUUUAAAAAAAAAAAAAGAUCUUUUAUAUUGAGCAUAGAGGUGUGGGGGGCAAAUCACGUCUCCCAGGAGGGCUCUACUCUCGCCCAUAAUAGGGGAUUGGUUUAGCUCAGCUGCUCCUACAAAGGGUUGAAUACAGCAAGCAGCAGUGCAGGCAGCUCCCUGCAGCUCUAUGUGAAAAUGACUCACAGCGGUUAUGAACAUCAACCCUCCUUUGAUGUGUUCCCAGACGUGAGGAACAGCCAGAAAGAGGAGGUAGGCUCUGGAUGCCUGCUCUGUGGGAUGGUGCACAGAGGCCUGAGCACAUCUGGCACGAUCCAGAAACUCCUGGAGAAAUUCAGGCUGGGUAAUUACCUACGACUUCCUAGGAUAACACAGCUCUGUUUCAUCAUUAUUCUCUCUGUGUCUGUCUGUCUGUCUGUCUGUCUGUCUGUCUCUCUCUCUCUCUCUCACACACACACACACAGAGACAGAGACUGAGAGACAGAGAUAGAGAGACAGAGACAGAGACAGACAGAGACACAGAGAGAAUUAGAUUCUUCCAGAAACUGCAACCUGUUUCUAUACCUUCACCUUUCCUGAGGGGAUAACAAUUCACAUCCAUGAAUAAAAGUUGUUUUACUGAUCACAAAA
RNAcentral lists this small RNA (4109 nucleotides) under Rattus norvegicus (Norway rat). RNAcentral's name for it is "uncharacterized LOC108353025". The record is from RNAcentral. Lineage: Eukaryota; Metazoa; Chordata; Mammalia; Rodentia; Muridae.